Molecule: long non-coding RNA, 597 nt
Filed under: Urocitellus parryii (Arctic ground squirrel)
Lineage: Eukaryota; Metazoa; Chordata; Mammalia; Rodentia; Sciuridae
Description: lncRNA (ENSUPAG00010020036.1)
Source: RNAcentral
UGCUGAUUAGGAAGACAGGGUCUGGGGGUCAGGAAGCUUGGAUUCCAAUCCUUGCUCUGCCUCUGGAAGAAGGUUGGCAAAUGGCUUAACUUCUUAACUUACUUGUGUCAUUUGUCAACAGGGAUGAAGUUAUGAGACCUACCACAGGCUUGAGGUGAGAAUUCAGCAAGACAGUACAGGUGGAGCCCUUGAAAGAGACACACGGAUCAUGGCCUGCCAGCUGGUUGCUCACCACCUUUCUGAUCCUGGCAGCCCCUUCAGACUGUUGGCAACAGCGUCGUAKAUGACACAUCAUUUUUUUCUAGCUCCUACAGUUCUGACACAGAGAAAUGGAAUACCUCAGAGUUUCUGAAAGCCUCUGGCUGGGCCUCCACGUGCUGUAGAUCAAGAGCCUUUCCACAGAUGCUCUGAACCCAAGAGGMGGAAUUCUGGACAUGUAAGUACAAUGGCUUCCAGCUCUGUGCUUCCUCAGGUCUCUGUCCUUGUUGUUACCAACUUGUACGACACCACACUUUCCUCUCCCCAUUGGGCCAUCACAUGAUCAUUCUCAAGGACGAGAGAAUGUUCUGAAAGAUCAUCUUGGGAUCCAUAGUGUUG